AGAGUUUGAUCCUGGCUCAGGACGAACGCUGGCGGCGCGCCUAACACAUGCAAGUCGAACGAGAGAUGAGGAGCUUGCUCUUCAAAUCGAGUGGCGAACGGGUGAGUAACGCGUGAGGAACCUGCCUCAAAGAGGGGGACAACAGUUGGAAACGACUGCUAAUACCGCAUAAGCCCACGGGUCGGCAUCGACCAGAGGGAAAAGGAGCAAUCCGCUUUGAGAUGGCCUCGCGUCCGAUUAGCUAGUUGGUGAGGUAACGGCCCACCAAGGCGACGAUCGGUAGCCGGACUGAGAGGUUGAACGGCCACAUUGGGACUGAGACACGGCCCAGACUCCUACGGGAGGCAGCAGUGGGGAAUAUCGCACAAUGGGGGAAACCCUGAUGCAGCGACGCCGCGUGGAGGAAGAAGGUCUUCGGAUUGUAAACUCCUGUUGUUGAGGAAGAUAAUGACGGUACUCAACAAGGAAGUGACGGCUAACUACGUGCCAGCAGCCGCGGUAAAACGUAGGUCACAAGCGUUGUCCGGAAUUACUGGGUGUAAAGGGAGCGCAGGCGGGAAGACAAGUUGGAAGUGAAAUCUAUGGGCUCAACCCAUAAACUGCUUUCAAAACUGUUUUUCUUGAGUAGUGCAGAGGUAGGCGGAAUUCCCGGUGUAGCGGUGGAAUGCGUAGAUAUCGGGAGGAACACCAGUGGCGAAGGCGGCCUACUGGGCACCAACUGACGCUGAGGCUCGAAAGUGUGGGUAGCAAACAGGAUUAGAUACCCUGGUAGUCCACACCGUAAACGAUGAAUUACUAGGUGUUGGAGGAAUUGACCCCUUCAGUGCCGCAGUUAACACAAUAAGUAAUCCACCUGGGGAGUACGAACCGCAAGGGUUGAAACUCAAAGGAAAUUGACGGGGGCCCGCACAAGCAGUGGAGUAUGUGGUUUAAUUCGAACGCAACGCGAAGAACCUUACCAAGUCUUGACAUCCUGCGACGAUGCUGGAAACAGUAUUUUCCUUCGGGACGCAGAGACAGGUGGUGCAUGGUUGUCGUCAGCUCGUGUCGUGAGAUGUUGGGUUAAGUCCCGCAACGAGCGCAACCCUUACUGUCAGUUACUACGCAAGAGGACUCUGGCAGGACUGCCGUUGACAAAACGGAGGAAGGUGGGGAUGACGUCAAAUCAUCAUGCCCUUUAUGACUUGGGCUACACACGUACUACAAUGGCGUUAAACAAAGAGAAGCAAGACCGCGAGGUGGAGCAAAACUCAGAAACAACGUCCCAGUUCGGACUGCAGGCUGCAACUCGCCUGCACGAAGUCGGAAUUGCUAGUAAUCGUGGAUCAGCAUGCCACGGUGAAUACGUUCCCGGGCCUUGUACACACCGCCCGUCA
Molecule: ribosomal RNA, 1376 nt
Filed under: uncultured bacterium
Lineage: Bacteria
Description: bacterial SSU rRNA
Rfam family: Bacterial small subunit ribosomal RNA
Source: RNAcentral